Molecule: non-coding RNA, 4687 nt
Organism: Oryctolagus cuniculus (rabbit)
Lineage: Eukaryota; Metazoa; Chordata; Mammalia; Lagomorpha; Leporidae
Source: RefSeq, a predicted model, not a curated record
GGUGGAUGACAAUAGCCAAUGUGUCGGAUGCUAGUGAACACGGACAAUGGUGUGUGCUUUGUCCUUUUAUAAAAUUCUCUUGGAUGUUUUGGUUACAUCUCCUUGCUGAAUUAAAGAACACUUUUAAUAGGAAGGAUUUUGAAGGGAAAAUGCCUUAAGCCCUUCUUUAAACACCCAAUUUGCCGUGGCACAUGCCCCAGGGGGAGGAGUGAGACCAAGACUUUUGAGGCGUGUUCCACAAAGCCUGUCUUUGGAUCUCGGGGAUGUUUGCUCAUUCCCAUGGGGACAACGGAAUGCUUCAGGGGGCCUGGGGUGGGAGGCGGGCUGGGCACUGCUGCUAGGCAUCUUGCCGAGAGGAAGCCGACACCUCGUCAUCCAUCAGGCCACCCCGGCCCCCGCUUCUGUUAUUAGGGGAGGAAAAUGAAACCCAGUUCCAAAUCAUCUUGCUAUUUAGGGAGCUCAGUGGGCAGCUGGGAGACAUGACGAAAACAACACAAACAACUAGAGAACAAUUAUGCACCAAGAUACACGGCACUGAUGAUGAGCUGUGUGAGAUGUCUCUGCACAGGAGAUGCCUAGGCAAACUUGAAGUGUAAGCAGCUGCAGCUAAUCCACUGGUGACGUCUCUGGAUACGAGCUAAAAAAUGACUCUCAAUAAUAGGGUGGGGAGGGGCGGAUCCGCCUGCAUGACGCCAGCCAGAAUUUAUUAAACUUUCUUUUUUUUUAAUUUCUUUUAAUUUCCCCUACUUAUUGGGCUCGAGAAGCUCAUCAGUCACAGGGCGCCUGCUGCGGGAGGGACUGCCGGGCACCAUCCGGUCUCGCCUGUGCCCCCUGCGCGUGCAGGGCUGCGUUCACACCACACACACCCUCACCUCCUCGGGCCGCAGUGGCCAAGGCUGGGCAGAUCAGAAGCCAGGAGCCAGGAGCUUCUUCUGGGUCUCCCACAUGGGUGCAGGGGCCCAAGCACUUGGGCCAUCUUCUCCUGGGUUCCCAGGCCAUAGCAGAGAGCUGGAUCGGAAGUAGAGCAGCUGGGACUUGAACUGAUGCCCAUAUGGGAUGCUGGCCCUGCAGGCAGCAGCUUAACCUAUUACGCUGUGUGCUGGGGCCAAGAUGGUACUUUAAGCAUAGCAAUGUCUAGUGCUCCAACAGGGACAGUCCCAGGAGGGGCACUUGACCCACAACCCCUGAAGUCCAUGGGUCAUGCUCAGGGCAGGGCCUCGGCUGCAACUCGCUGGUCCCACCCCUAAAUCUCAGAGUCAGGGCGCAGCGCUCAUUCUUUCGCAUUGAAACCCCCUGCCAUCCCCUGACCUCAUCUCUGCUGCUCCCCUUCCCAAGGUCUCAGCUCUGGCGCUCCGUUUCCUCACUCACCAGCCUUGCCUGUGCCUGCUCUAUCAGGGAGCACAUGGUCUGUCACCCCUCAUGUGGGCCUCUUGGGCCAUAUUGGUAUAGGACACCCCCAAGACUGGCUGGAGGAGUUACUAUGGAACCCCCAGAACUGCAUGUGUAGAGGAAAUACGGCCGCAACCAGAGACAAAGAAAGAAAAGUGGACCGCUUCUCCCAACAAAAGCCUUGAAACAUGGCUGCUGGCAAUUAACUAGCGAAGCAGCUGCCCACUGUAAUCUUGUCUAGGGAGGGAAGACGUCCUCAGUUCUGCUUCUGUAAAUUGUAAACCUGCCCCUGGUAUCUCUUUUACAAACAUACCAGGCCCACCGACCAUGGCAAGUGUGGUCCUAAGUCACGCAGCUGCAAUUUAAACACACCAAUGCUGUAAUUGCUAAGGUAUGACACUGAUGAACCUAUAAAUAUUGUAAGGAACUUGGGAUUGUUGCUCAGUUCUCAGGAAAUGAUUCCAGCUGAGCCCACGGGCAUAAUAGACUGGAUCCUCCACUGUCUCUGGUGCCUGUUUGAAUGGAGGGGGUUUUCUCAUCCCAGGUUUCUGUGACAGGUGCACUUGAGUGCCACACGGCAAGCCAAUCACUGACCUCAGGGUAGUGGGGGGAAGGAGUGUUUCUUGCAAAGCACAGAGCAAGGAGCUGAGCAGCUCUCAAUUCCUGGGCUCCCCGAGAAGCCACAGGUCCAGGUUCUUGCAGGCAAGGUGCAUAUGCAGCGUGUGUGUGGGUUCCUGUUGGCCGGCACUGUUCACGGUGCCCCCUCAGUUGGCAGGCAGGGUCAUGCUCUUUGGGGAAUUUGGAUGUUGGCAAAAUGGGCUCCAGACAGGUGGGCAUUACUUCCCACUCAGACCUGGGGUCUCCUGCCCUCAAGACCGCACCCCGCAUCACGAAGUUACCUGCAGUCAAGAUAUUGAUCGCCUGAGUCUCACAUUCAGGGCCCCCACAGGGCCAUUCACACCAGCCCCUCCGUUCUCUGUGUUCAUUUCAGAAAGAGGUUGAUUGGCAAUCCCAAUAGUGGGGGCCUGGAAACCUGACCCCGAGGGAGGGAGGCUGGGAGCCAGGAGUAGGCGCCGUUCCGGACCCCAGGGCAGCCGUCCCAGCUCCAGGAUCCCGGAGCGACGAAGCAGUCGGCGGUUUCUUCCAGCUCACAGCCGUUUCCCUCUGGCGGGGUGAGGGUGGACCAUCGGGCAGUCUGUGUUCUUCCUGGGAUCGCUGCCUCAAUUAUAGGCUCUGGCAGGAGGCAGCGGAGUGUGUAAUAGCCCUCAUUGUUUCAUUAGGGGCCCUGUGUUUAAUUAAGAUAACUUUACUGCUUGCCAAAGGAGGAAACAGCACCCCUGCGGGUUGGCAAGAGGUGUGUCUCUUCAUGGCUCCCUGCAGAACCCACCAUCUGGGUCUCCAUGAUCCACAUGCCCCCCCCAUUAUGGGUCUCCCCUCCACCUGGGUCCCCGCGUGUCCCACACCCUCGCCCAUCUUCACCUCCUCGCUCGCCCCCAUCUGAAGACUGAGACUGUGAGCGAGCACGUCUGGGAUGGGGCCUCAGGUGGUUCGGAUACAGGUGUCUCAGGAGCUCACUGGAGAGACCCUGCUGAGGAAGGAGGUUAGAGUGAUACUGAGGCGGACCUUGAGGUUCCAGAAGCUUCCAUCUUGUCUCUUUGUACUGGCCGGGCCUGGGGCAAGCCUUUAGCUCCAUGGAGGACUCAAAAACCAGAGCUGACCAGCCCCAGGUUCUGUCUCGGCAGAACGCUGCUUGGUGAACACCUGCCACACCUUGUCCGAGGCCUUCAGGUGGGAAAUGUACUUCAGCUAGUGCCAGUCCGCUUGGGGGUGGCUGGGGGCAGGCAGAUGUGGGGAUAUCAGCCCAGGAUAGCUGUGUGGUCCAAAACCCGCACCGUGAGGAGAGUAGCAGCCAGGGAGAGCAAGGAUUCACCUUUGCUUCCUGGGCUGGGGGCUUCAGGCUGGGCUUUGGGCAGCGAGCAGGAGUUGCCCAGGUGAACAGGGAAGGUGGGGGAGUGGUUCGGCCUGCCUUUUGAUCCCGCAUCCCACCACACCCCGGCGUCUCGUUUCCCCGUGUGGCAGCCUGCCUCACCGAGCUCCAGGUGACCCACGACCCUGGUUUCCCCCAGCUCCUUGGACAGCACCAUCCAGUGCUGAGUCGCCUGGCACAGUGGGAAUGCCAGGUGACAGCCCUCGUUAUCACACAGUCAAGGGUUCUGCCUGCUGCAUGGCCCUCGGAAGGGACUUCUUUCUUGGGUUUUACUUUGUGGAGUUUUUUGGUGGUUUUUGUUUUAUUUUAUUUUAUUUGGUCUCUGGUCUAUUAUUCUCACAUUUAAUUAAUGUUCCACUUGACUAAUUAGAUACAACAGAAGCAGCUGGGAUCACCUAGCGGCUGGGGGCUGGGUAAUUGCGCAUCUUGAGAGGAGGAGGGAGAGGUUUUGGGGGCAGGGACUGGGACUCAGCCAGCUGCCCGCUACUUCUGCGUCUCUGCCAUGAGGGCUGUGGCUUCUCCAAAGUCACACACAUCUCCACCGUCUCCCAUCUCCCACCUCCCAGGACAGCUUGGGCAGUGGGAGUCUGGGAAUGUGUGGGUCAAAAUGGGGUAUUGUGGGGCUGGUGCUAUGGGAUAGUGGGUUAAGCUUCCACCUUCAUGCUGGUAUCCCAGAUGGGUAGUGGUCUGAGUCCUGGCUGCUCCACCUCUGAUCCAGCUCCCUGAUAAUGUGCCUAGGAAAGCAGCAGAGGAUGGCCCAGGUGCUUGGGCCCCUGUACCCAUGUGGGAGACCUGGAUGAAGCUUUUGGCUCCUGGCUUUGACCUGGCUCAGCUCCAUUAUGGCCAUUUGGAGAGUGAACCAGCAGAUGGAGGAUCUCUCUCUCUCUCUCUCUCUGUGUGUGUGUGUGUGUGUCCCUCUCUUUGUAACCCUGCCUCUCAAAUAAAUCUUUUUUUUUUUUUUUAAAGUGGGUAUGUUGUGGGGCCGGCACUGUGGCAUAUCAGGUAAAGCCGUCGCCUGCAGGGCCGGCAUCCUAUAUGGGCGCCGGUUCACGUCCCAGCUGCUCUACUUCCUAUCCAGCUGUCUGCUGUGGCCUGGGAGACCAGUAGAGCAGCAGUAGUAGGCCCCUGUACCCACCUGGGAGACCCAGAAGAGGCUCCUGGCUUCGGAUUGGCGCAGCUCCGGCCAUUGCGGCCAUCCGGGGAAUGGACCAGCAGAUGGAAGACCUCUCUCUCUGUGUCUCUACCUCUCUUUGUAACUCUGUCUUUCAAAUAAAUAAAAUAUAUUGUUUUAAAAAUGGGUGUGUUGUGUGU